Molecule: long non-coding RNA, 2365 nt
Organism: Siniperca chuatsi (mandarin fish)
Lineage: Eukaryota; Metazoa; Chordata; Actinopteri; Centrarchiformes; Sinipercidae
Exons: 2
Source: RefSeq, a predicted model, not a curated record
UCCAUGCAAAAACCAAAGCGUAGCUAAAAACAACAAUUUUUUAAAGGGGUUAUGUGCUGGACUAUUUCUUGACUGGGAACAGUUACCAGGCAACCAGCACCCAUGGACAGAGCUAGGCUAGCUCUUUCCCCCUGUUUCCAGUCUUUAUGCUAAGCUAAGCUAACCAGCAGCUAAGCUAACCUUCAUAUUACUGUAAAGAGAGAGUGGUAUCAAUCUUCUCAUCUAACUCUUGGCAAGAGAGCAAAUAAGUGUAUCCCCAAAAUGUCAAACUAAUACUUCAUUUACAUUUCAUUUACAUUUGUGAUUCAUUAUUAAAGUAUUAGUUAUAGCCUACCCUGCAGUGGCUGGCAACUUAGAUACUGGCUCCACAGUUCAUUCCCAAACCCUCAACUCACAGAGAGGAUGUGCUGAUGUCCACACUCAGACACGGGUGUGGGAAUGAUGAUACCAGGAUGCGUCAGAUGGCAGGUUUCUUUAAAUGUGCUAAAUCAGAUGAGCUUUGUUUGGAUGUACUGUACCUUUUCAUGCAGAGGCACUCAUUUCAAUCAUGAAAAUGUCUUCUCCAUGAUGAGCUGUUCUCCUCCACAUCCAAGCCCUCUCCUUCAUGAUGAGACCCUCUGUUGUAGCUGUAUCCAUAUCCAGGACUCACACACAUACAUAUGCACACAAAACUCAUUCAGACACACACACUGCCUCUCCUUACUCUCUCACACCCUUACACACACGUUCUGGUGCAAAUCAGACAGAAAAUAAUACACUUUGUAUUCAUGGAGAGACCCACUUAUUGAUGACUUCGCUGUUUGUGUAUGUCUUUGAAGAGUCUCAUAGAAUGUCAAAACAGUUUAUCAUGUUGAUCUAAAUUCCAAAAGGAGUUCAAUUACUUGUCUCAGCUAAUGUUUUAAUUUGACACCUCAGUACAGCACCAGAAUGAAAAUUAUGACACUUGACUAAGAGAAAAAGACAGAGCAGAGAGAGGAGGAGAGAAAGUAAAAGACAUGAUGAGACCUCAUUAAGGCUACAACGAAGCAAGCGUGUACGCGUGCACGCUCGUGUGUGUAACACAGCGAACAUGAUCCAGUCAUUUUUGUGUGUUUUUGUCUGCGUGUGUCUGCAUCAGUGUGUGUGUGUGUCAGUGUGUGUCAGUGUGUGUGUCAGUCAGAGCAGAUCUGGGAAGCCCCUGGGAGGGUUAAGUAGGGAAACAGCAGAGAUUGAGGUGGGGAAUUCUCAUCAAAAAUGUCCAAAUCAGGAAAGGUGUCGACAAGAGCCACCCUGCAAGGGGACAGAGGGGAACAGAGGUGUUGGAGGGGUGUGUGUGUGUGUGUGUGUGUGUGUGUGUGUGUGUGUGUGUGUGUGUGUGUGUGUGUGGAGUGUGCAGGAGUGCGUAGGAGUGUGUAAAGCCAAAGAUGAGAGAGUAGAAAGAGGAGAGCUACUGUAAGUCAGACAACCAAUUUAAUUAUAGGCCAGUGAUUGAUAACAGGCUGUGUGUGUGUGUGUAGGCCCUAUAUAAUAUCAGUCAGAGACCCUCAGGUGCAUUGUUCUGUGUGGUGUUUGUUUUUGUUCAUCUGUGUGAGUGCACAUGGUGUGUUUCUAUAGAAAGUGUCAUGUUCAUGUAAUUAUGAAACAUUUGUCUGUAGCCCUGCUGUGACCUCUGACCUCUCUGUCUCUCUCUGCUAGUCACAAUCUGGGCAUGCUUGUUGUCACUUUUCACACCUGAUAGAGUUUUUUUUUUUAAAUGUCCUGAAACCUUUUAAACCACAGUGUAAAGCAUGAAUAAGAACUAAGACUAUUGCUGGCUCAUCUGCAGAAUUGUUUAGCUAUAUAUAUAAUUAUAUAAAUACUAUCUUCACUCAAGUUUGAAUCAUACUAUGUUGACUUUUCUAGGAUUGACAUCUAGUCUGACAAUUGUUAUUUUCUCAUUUUAGUACAGUUACAUACUGACUGGUCUGUUUCACACACAGUCCACUCGGCUUCUGCUGAAAGAAAUCCCUUUGUCGAGUAAAGGUCUUUGAAAGCUCCUCGUUAACUCUGAGCACUUUUUCUAUUGUACAAUGACCAUUGUUAAGAGAAAAUUCCAGUAUUUAUUCUCAUGAUUGUGGCCAUUCUGACUCAUGCUAACUUUGCGCCCACCAAGAUACUGUUAGCUUGGUAGAUCACCAUGCAGUUAGCUACAAAAGUUGAGGAGCUACUUUCUGUGUUGACAAGCAUUUGAAUUGAUUUAUGUAAAAUUCAAGUUUAUUUGGAAAGCUUUAGGAGGUUCGCGCAGCUUGCGGCGAUUUCUGUUGUUUUGCUGGAGUCACAUUUCCUGAAUCUCUACAACAGAGGUGGCGAGUGCAAAGUUAGUAUGAUACAUUAGCCACUAUGGCUA